GAUGAACGCUGGCGGCGUGCCUAAUACAUGCAAGUCGGGCGAACAGAUGAGGAGCUUGCUCCUCUGACGUUAGCGGCGGACGGGUGAGUAACACGUGGAUAACCUACCUAUAAGACUGGGAUAACUUCGGGAAACCGGAGCUAAUACCGGAUAAUAUAUUGAACCGCAUGGUUCAAUAGUGAAAGACGGUUUUGCUGUCACUUAUAGAUGGAUCCGCGCCGCAUUAGCCAGUUGGUAAGGUAACGGCUUACCAAGGCAACGAUGCGUAGCCGACCUGAGAGGGUGAUCGGCCACACUGGAACUGAGACACGGUCCAGACUCCUACGGGAGGCAGCAGUAGGGAAUCUUCCGCAAUGGGCGAAAGCCUGACGGAGCAACGCCGCGUGAGUGAUGAAGGUCUUCGGAUCGUAAAACUCUGUUAUUAGGGAAGAACAAAUGUGUAAGUAACUAUGCACGUCUUGACGGUACCUAAUCAGAAAGCCACGGCUAACUACGUG
Molecule: ribosomal RNA, 497 nt
Filed under: uncultured bacterium
Lineage: Bacteria
Description: partial 16S ribosomal RNA
Rfam family: Bacterial small subunit ribosomal RNA
Source: RNAcentral